This 757-nucleotide ribosomal RNA is filed under the name uncultured bacterium. RNAcentral describes it as "bacterial SSU rRNA". It matches the Rfam family "Bacterial small subunit ribosomal RNA", at positions 33 to 773 of the family's 1533-position model. The record is from RNAcentral.
ACGCUGGCGGCGUGCCUAAUACAUGCAAGUUGAGCGCUGAAGGUUGGUACUUGUACCAACUGGAUGAGCAGCGAACGGGUGAGUAACGCGUGGGGAAUCUGCCUUUGAGCGGGGGACAACAUUUGGAAACGAAUGCUAAUACCGCAUAAAAACUUUAAACACAAGUUUUAAGUUUGAAAGAUGCAAUUGCAUCACUCAAAGAUGAUCCCGCGUUGUAUUAGCUAGUUGGUGAGGUAAAGGCUCACCAAGGCGAUGAUACAUAGCCGACCUGAGAGGGUGAUCGGCCACAUUGGGACUGAGACACGGCCCAAACUCCUACGGGAGGCAGCAGUAGGGAAUCUUCGGCAAUGGACGAAAGUCUGACCGAGCAACGCCGCGUGAGUGAAGAAGGUUUUCGGAUCGUAAAACUCUGUUGGUAGAGAAGAACGUUGGUGAGAGUGGAAAGCUCAUCAAGUGACGGUAACUACCCAGAAAGGGACGGCUAACUACGUGCCAGCAGCCGCGGUAAUACGUAGGUCCCGAGCGUUGUCCGGAUUUAUUGGGCGUAAAGCGAGCGCAGGUGGUUUAUUAAGUCUGGUGUAAAAGGCAGUGGCUCAACCAUUGUAUGCAUUGGAAACUGGUAGACUUGAGUGCAGGAGAGGAGAGUGGAAUUCCAUGUGUAGCGGUGAAAUGCGUAGAUAUAUGGAGGAACACCGGUGGCGAAAGCGGCUCUCUGGCCUGUAACUGACACCGAGGCUCGAAAGCGUGGGGAGCAAAC